This 72-nucleotide transfer RNA is filed under the name Patescibacteria group bacterium. RNAcentral's name for it is "tRNA-Arg". It matches the Rfam family "tRNA". From Rfam's summary of the family: Transfer RNA (tRNA) molecules are approximately 80 nucleotides in length. Their secondary structure includes four short double-helical elements and three loops (D, anti-codon, and T loops). Further hydrogen bonds mediate the characteristic L-shaped molecular structure. tRNAs have two regions of fundamental functional importance: the anti-codon, which is responsible for specific mRNA codon recognition, and the 3' end, to which the tRNAs corresponding amino acid is attached (by aminoacyl-tRNA synthetases). tRNAs cope with the degeneracy of the genetic code in two manners: having more than one tRNA (with a specific anti-codon) for a particular amino acid; and 'wobble' base-pairing, i.e. permitting non-standard base-pairing at the 3rd anti-codon position. The record is from RNAcentral.
GCUCCCAUAGUUUAAUGGAUAGAACGUCAGUUUGCGGUACUGAUGAUCCAAGUUCGAUUCUUGGUGGGGGCA